Molecule: ribosomal RNA, 1017 nt
Filed under: uncultured bacterium
Lineage: Bacteria
Description: bacterial SSU rRNA
Rfam family: Bacterial small subunit ribosomal RNA
Source: RNAcentral
UGAGGAAUAUUGGUCAAUGGGCGCAGGCCUGAACCAGCCAAGUAGCGUGAAGGAUGACUGCCCUAUGGGUUGUAAACUUCUUUUAUAAAGGAAUAAAGUCGGGUAUGUAUACCCGUUUGCAUGUACUUUAUGAAUAAGGAUCGGCUAACUCCGUGCCAGCAGCCGCGGUAAUACGGAGGAUCCGAGCGUUAUCCGGAUUUAUUGGGUUUAAAGGGAGCGUAGAUGGAUGUUUAAGUCAGUUGUGAAAGUUUGCGGCUCAACCGUAAAAUUGCAGUUGAUACUGGAUAUCUUGAGUGCAGUUGAGGCAGGCGGAAUUCGUGGUGUAGCGGUGAAAUGCUUAGAUAUCACGAAGAACUCCGAUUGCGAAGGCAGCCUGCUAAGCUGCAACUGACAUUGAGGCUCGAAAGUGUGGGUAUCAAACAGGAUUAGAUACCCUGGUAGUCCACACGGUAAACGAUGAAUACUCGCUGUUUGCGAUAUACUGCAAGCGGCCAAGCGAAAGCGUUAAGUAUUCCACCUGGGGAGUACGCCGGCAACGGUGAAACUCAAAGGAAUUGACGGGGGCCCGCACAAGCGGAGGAACAUGUGGUUUAAUUCGAUGAUACGCGAGGAACCUUACCCGGGCUUAAAUUGCAGAUGAAUUACGGUGAAAGCCGUAAGCCGCAAGGCAUCUGUGAAGGUGCUGCAUGGUUGUCGUCAGCUCGUGCCGUGAGGUGUCGGCUUAAGUGCCAUAACGAGCGCAACCCUUGUUGUCAGUUACUAACAGGUUCCGCUGAGGACUCUGACAAGACUGCCAUCGUAAGAUGUGAGGAAGGUGGGGAUGACGUCAAAUCAGCACGGCCCUUACGUCCGGGGCUACACACGUGUUACAAUGGGGGGUACAGAGGGCCGCUACCACACGAGUGGAUGCCAAUCCCCAAAACCUCUCUCAGUUCGGACUGGAGUCUGCAACCCGACUCCACGAAGCUGGAUUCGCUAGUAAUCGCGCAUCAGCCACGGCGCGGUGAAUACGUUCCC